Molecule: long non-coding RNA, 1138 nt
Organism: Oryzias melastigma (Indian medaka)
Lineage: Eukaryota; Metazoa; Chordata; Actinopteri; Beloniformes; Adrianichthyidae
Exons: 2
Source: RefSeq, a predicted model, not a curated record
CUUUUACCUGCAGCGCAGCAACACAAAACACAGAGAUUUCAGCCGUCACUCAGGUGAAGGCCAGAAAAUUAGAACAAAAAAAAAGAGGCUGAGGAGAGAAUAAGGUGAUAUUAUCGAUUGUAAAGCUUCAAGACAAAACUAUGCGAGAGACAAUGCUGCAAUUCUGCACAACAGUAAAGAUUCAAGGAGAAACGUUGCCGUCAAAGUCCUUCUCUAACUCCUCCUGGCUCUGAUCUUGGUCCUUGUCGUCUUCGUCCUGCUCCAAACUAGGCUCCAGCUCGGUCUCCUGCUCGUCCCCAGAGGGGCUGUGCAGACGCCGCUGGUCGCUGAUGCUGCGGUGGGACAGGCUGUCGUGGUUCUCGCACAUGGAUGACACCGGCCGGGAUGUGAACUCUGCUCGGCGGGAGGAGUUGUGUUAAAUUUGAGGAGACUAAACCUGGUUUCCACCGAUAGACAUUCGCACCUCCAUCCAAGCUCCGGGACAGCAGGUACCGCUUGCUGGUAGAACGCUCAAAGUGGGGAGCGGGACGGUCGAUGAGGGCGCUGGCCUGCCGGGUUUGAGCCUGCGUCCUUCCACUGUACCGGAACUUUGAACCCAUCACCAGGAAACCUUUGGGAGGAGGUUCUGGAGACACCAGCCUGCAGAGGGAGGAGCUGGAAGUUACACUUACGUGCUAUCAAAUAUGUCAUUUGUUGAUUUUUAUUUGGAAUUUUUUUAGUGAGUUAUUUUUUUUUACAUUUUUAAAGGACAAACACUAAUAAGCUUUUCUGUCGCAUUUUUGAAAAAAAUCCUGAAACUGAUGAAACCGAAUCAGUUCUAUCCGAAAGCCCCAUGAAUACUUUUUUUUCCAUCCAUUUGUGUUCUCCUCCACAUCACAGAUAAACCGCCCCGCCUGCUGCGCCCUCUGCUCCCUUUCCUCCAUCCUCCACUCGGGUUCCUGAUCCAGGUGUGCAGACUGGGGAGAUGCUGCACACCUGCGGCUCAGUUUUUUGAAGGCAGCUCUGGCUCUCCUCCAUGAUUUAUGUGUUGGCUGUUGCUGCUCCUCACACAAAUGUGAAAAACCUCAACAACAAACAAUCCGGCUACAGAUUCUGAGGGGUUUUUUAAAGGCACACACCGAUUAAAUUGUGUUUCUGA